This 276-nucleotide unclassified non-coding RNA is filed under the name Hevea brasiliensis (rubber tree). Lineage: Eukaryota; Viridiplantae; Streptophyta; Magnoliopsida; Malpighiales; Euphorbiaceae. The record is from RNAcentral.
UGAAUCAAGGGCACUACAAAACAAUCUUAAUAGAAUCUUAGAUUAUCUCUUCAUUACAAUGGACAGUACAUAACAAAAACAAAGGCUACACUCCCUCAACAAAAAGGAUGAGAAAUGUAAUCUCUACUUCCAUCAUAUCAAAGCUUAAUUGUAGUUCCUCACCACUGUGCAAGCCAAGCUACAGGCAAAAACUCCAUCUACUCAAACAAACUUCUAUGAAAGAUUCACACAAUAAAAUUACAAAGUUGUGUUAAUCCUCCUCUAUUAAAGUUUUCU